AUUGAACGCUGGCGGCAUGCCUUACACAUGCAAGUCGAACGGGGGUAGCAAUACCCUAGUGGCGAACGGGUGAGUAAAGCAUCGGAACGUACCCAGUCGUGGGGGAUAACGUAGCGAAAGUUACGCUAAUACCGCAUACGAUCUGAGGAUGAAAGCAGGGGACUCGCAAGAGCCUUGCGCGAUUGGAGCGGCCGAUGUCGGAUUAGCUAGUUGGUGAGGUAAAAGCUCACCAAGGCGACGAUCCGUAGCUGGUCUGAGAGGAUGAUCAGCCACACUGGGACUGAGACACGGCCCAGACUCCUACGGGAGGCAGCAGUGGGGAAUUUUGGACAAUGGGGGAAACCCUGAUCCAGCCAUGCCGCGUGAGUGAGGAAGGCCUUCGGGUUGUAAAGCUCUUUCAGACGGAAAGAAAUGGUCUUGGCUAAUACCCGAGAUCGAUGACGGUACCGUAAGAAGAAGCACCGGCUAACUACGUGCCAGCCGCCGCCGUAA
RNAcentral lists this ribosomal RNA (492 nucleotides) under uncultured bacterium. Its description in RNAcentral is "partial 16S ribosomal RNA". It matches the Rfam family "Bacterial small subunit ribosomal RNA", at positions 30 to 523 of the family's 1533-position model. The record is from RNAcentral.